AUCUCAGGAUUUCAGAUAAGCUCUUGUUUUUUUCACAGGCUCCCUGGUAAUGUAGGAUGGGCUCGAAACCCAGGCUUUGAUGUGAGUAGAACUCCACCUAGUCUUUGGACAUAAAGAUAUGCAUAUAAAUUGUUCCUGUUUUGGUUUUCUAGCAAAUUAACCGGGAGCUGAAGAACCGGUUUGGUAUGACCAGCACCUCUGAGGCUCAUCUGAAAGAGAACGAGACCUCUAAGCCCAUCUCUGACUUCAAACAGAAGAAAGUAGUAGAAGCAGUGAAGGAGGAACUACAGAGACAAGGUCCCUCUGUGCCCCCACUGCCCCUUCUAAGGCAAAGAUCUCUUCUACGACCAUCAUCAUCAGUUCCAUCCAAUUGUGGAGCACCACCUCCUCCCCUUCCUCCUCCAGUCCCUCCACACACUGCUCCCCUAAUACAAGCUUAUGGAAUGAACACAGGACAACAUCCAGACAGCAACAUUGCAAAAUUAAGGACACGUAAAUAUGGUGAUAAAUAUUAGUCUGCCCCAAACUCAUCUUUCAGAGUUCAGAGUCAUUGGACAUUGAGUUACAAUAAACAGGACGUUAUUCUGAUUUUGUUUAAUGAC
Molecule: long non-coding RNA, 602 nt
Filed under: Betta splendens (Siamese fighting fish)
Lineage: Eukaryota; Metazoa; Chordata; Actinopteri; Anabantiformes; Osphronemidae
Description: lncRNA (ENSBSLG00000019032.1)
Source: RNAcentral